GCCUUGGUAGUGUAACGGUUAGCACACUCGGCACAUAUUUGAGAGGUCCAGGUUCAAAUCCUAGUGAGGGCA
This 72-nucleotide transfer RNA is filed under the name Stegodyphus mimosarum. It matches the Rfam family "tRNA". Rfam says of the family: Transfer RNA (tRNA) molecules are approximately 80 nucleotides in length. Their secondary structure includes four short double-helical elements and three loops (D, anti-codon, and T loops). The record is from Rfam by way of RNAcentral. Lineage: Eukaryota; Metazoa; Arthropoda; Arachnida; Araneae; Eresidae.